Molecule: ribosomal RNA, 527 nt
Filed under: uncultured bacterium
Lineage: Bacteria
Description: bacterial SSU rRNA
Rfam family: Bacterial small subunit ribosomal RNA
Source: RNAcentral
ACAUCCAGAGAAUUUAGCAGAGAUGCUUUAGUGCCUUCGGGAACUCUGAGACAGGUGCUGCAUGGCUGUCGUCAGCUCGUGUUGUGAAAUGUUGGGUUAAGUCCCCGNAACGAGCGCAACCCUUAUCCUUUGUUGCCAGCACGUAAUGGUGGGAACUCAAAGGAGACUGCCGGUGAUAAACCGGAGGAAGGUGGGGAUGACGUCAAGUCAUCAUGGCCCUUACGAGUAGGGCUACACACGUGCUACAAUGGCGCAUACAAAGAGAAGCGACCUCGCGAGAGCAAGCGGACCUCAUAAAGUGCGUCGUAGUCCGGAUUGGAGUCUGCAACUCGACUCCAUGAAGUCGGAAUCGCUAGUAAUCGUAAAUCAGAAUGUUACGGUGAAUACGUUCCCGGGCCUUGUACACACCGCCCGUCACACCAUGGGAGUGGGUUGCAAAAGAAGUAGAUAGCUUAACCUUCGGGAGGGCGUUUACCACUUUGUGAUUCAUGACUGGGGUGAAGUCGUAACAAGGUAGGCGUAGUGCU